UAACUUUCAGCAAUGGAUCUCUUGGCUCUCGCAUCGAUGACGAACGCACCGAAUUGCGAUAAGUAAUGUGAAUUGCAUAUAUUCAGUGAAUCAUCGAAUCUUUGAACGCACCUUGCGCUCCUUGGUAUUCCAAGGAGCAUGUCUGUUUGAGUGUCAU
This 157-nucleotide ribosomal RNA is filed under the name Boletales sp. EMF56. RNAcentral describes it as "5.8S ribosomal RNA". It matches the Rfam family "5.8S ribosomal RNA". Rfam says of the family: 5.8S ribosomal RNA (5.8S rRNA) is a component of the large subunit of the eukaryotic ribosome. Lineage: Eukaryota; Fungi; Basidiomycota; Agaricomycetes; Boletales. The record is from RNAcentral.